GCUGGGCAUGGUGGUGCAUGCCUGUAGUCUCAGCCACUCGGGAGGCUGAGGCAAGAGGGUCUCUUAAGCCCAAGAGUUUGAGGUUGCUGUGAGAUAUGAUAUCACAGCACUGUACUGAGGGUGACAUAGUGAGACUGUCUGAAUCCCCUCCCAAAAAAACCACUUUUUUUUUUUUUUGAGACAGAGUCUCACUGUGUCACCCUUGGUAGAAUGCAGUGGUGUCACAGUUUAUAGCAACCUCAAACUCUUGGGCUUAAGUGAGUCUCUUGCCUCAG
This 275-nucleotide signal recognition particle RNA is filed under the name Otolemur garnettii (small-eared galago). Its description in RNAcentral is "Metazoan signal recognition particle RNA". It matches the Rfam family "Metazoan signal recognition particle RNA". From Rfam's summary of the family: The signal recognition particle (SRP) is a universally conserved ribonucleoprotein. It is involved in the co-translational targeting of proteins to membranes. Lineage: Eukaryota; Metazoa; Chordata; Mammalia; Primates; Galagidae. The record is from Rfam by way of RNAcentral.